Molecule: ribosomal RNA, 408 nt
Filed under: uncultured bacterium
Lineage: Bacteria
Description: bacterial SSU rRNA
Rfam family: Bacterial small subunit ribosomal RNA
Source: RNAcentral
AGAGUUUGAUCCUGGCUCAGAAUGAGCGCUGGCGGCGUGCCUAACACAUGCAAGUCGGAUGUGCCCGCAAGGGUGCAUGGCAGACGGGUGAGUAACGCGUGGGGAAUCUACCUCUUUGUGGGGAAUAACGCUCCGAAAGGAGUGGUAAUACCGCAUGAGAUCCAUGGCUGGAAUGUUGUGGAUGAAACCUGGGGACCUCCGGGCCUGGGGCAAGGAGAGGAUCCUGCGUCUGAUUAGCUAGUUGGUGAGGUAACGGCCCACCAAGGCAACGAUCAGUAGCCGGCCUGAGAGGGUGAUCGGCCACACUGGAACUGAGACACGGUCCAGACUCCUACGGGAGGCAGCAGUGGGGAAUUUUGCGCAAUGGGCGAAAGCCUGACGCAGCAACGCCGCGUGGGUGAUGAAGGU